Molecule: ribosomal RNA, 339 nt
Filed under: uncultured Bacilli bacterium
Lineage: Bacteria; Bacillati; Bacillota; Bacilli
Description: bacterial SSU rRNA
Rfam family: Bacterial small subunit ribosomal RNA
Source: RNAcentral
GGGUUCUGCUAUCACUCUUGGGAUGGGACCCUGCGGUGCAUUAGCUAGUUGGUAGGGUAACGGGCCUACCAAGGCGAUGAUGCAUAGCCCGAGUUGAGAGACUGAUCGGGCCACAUUGGGGACUGAGACACGGGCCCAAAACUCCUACGGGGAGGCAGCAGUAGGGAAUCUUCCACAAUGGACGACAAGUCUGAUGGAGCAACGCCGCGUGAGUGAAGAAGGGUCUCGGCUCGUAAAAGCUCUGUUGUUGGUGAAGAAGGACGAGGGGUAGUAACUGACCUUUGUUUGACGGUAAUCAAUUAGAAGUCACGGCUAACUACGUGCCAGCAGCCCGGUAAU